Long non-coding RNA from Tupaia belangeri chinensis (Chinese tree shrew), 524 nucleotides. RefSeq lists it as uncharacterized. The record is from RefSeq and is a predicted model, not a curated record. NCBI's taxonomy places the organism in Eukaryota, Metazoa, Chordata, Mammalia, Scandentia, Tupaiidae. The transcript has 3 exons.
CUUCCUGCUUGACCUGGCACUGGCUUCCUGGCUCACUCUCACCUGGGCCAGGGAGCUCCCGGAGACCAAGAGCAACCCCAGCAAGAAGGUGUCUGAGAGUCCUGAAGUCUCAGGAGUGUGGCUCCGAAGGCACCCAGAGACCUAACCUCAUCACUCUGCACUUCAGGGGCCUGACAUGCAGCUCUCUGCAGGCACCAAGGGGGUGUUGGCCUUCCUGCAGCCUGCUGGCCACCUGAAGAUUUGCUUCCUGCUCAUCACCCACAUCCUGCAUAGCUGACCUAACCUCAUCACUCUGCACUUCAGGGGCCUGACAUGCAGCUCUCUGCAGGCACCAAGGGGGUGUUGGCCUUCCUGCAGCCUGCUGGCCACCUGAAGAUUUGCUUCCUGCUCAUCACCCACAUCCUGCACAGCUGGCAAAUCUCCUCCACAAUGUUACUCUAACUCCAGAGAUUCCCCAAAGGUUUUGAAUUCUACUAUUAUUAUUGUUGUUGCUGCUGUUGAUGAGAACAUACACUUUUUAGCUU